CCCGCACAAGCGGAGGAACAUGUGGUUUAAUUCGAUGAUACGCGAGGAACCUUACCCGGGCUUGAAAUGGAGAGGAAUAACUUGGAAACAGGUUAGCCAGCAAUGGUCUCUUUGUAGGUGCUGCAUGGUUGUCGUCAGCUCGUGCCGUGAGGUGUCGGCUUAAGUGCCAUAACGAGCGCAACCCUUAUUGUUAGUUACUAACAGGUAAUGCUGAGGACUCUAGCGAGACUGCCACCGUAAGGUGUGAGGAAGGUGGGGAUGACGUCAAAUCAGCACGGCCCUUACGUCCGGGGCGACACACGUGUUACAAUGGGAGGUACAGAGGGCUGCUACGCCGCGAGGCGAUGCUAAUCUCUAAAACCUCUCUCAGUUCGGAUCGGAGUCUGCAACUCGACUCCGUGAAGCCGGAUUCGCUAGUAAUCGCGCAUCAGCCAUGGCGCGGUGAAUACGUUCCCGGGCCUUGUACACACCGCCCGUCAAGCCAUGGAAGCUGGGGGUACCUAAAGUACGUGACCGCAAGGAGCGUCCUAGGGUAAAACUAGUAACUGGGGCUAAGUCGUAACAAGGUAACCGUA
Molecule: ribosomal RNA, 575 nt
Filed under: uncultured Bacteroidota bacterium
Lineage: Bacteria; Pseudomonadati; Bacteroidota
Description: bacterial SSU rRNA
Rfam family: Bacterial small subunit ribosomal RNA
Source: RNAcentral